RNAcentral lists this ribosomal RNA (546 nucleotides) under uncultured bacterium. RNAcentral describes it as "partial 16S ribosomal RNA". It matches the Rfam family "Bacterial small subunit ribosomal RNA", at positions 355 to 914 of the family's 1533-position model. The record is from RNAcentral.
UGGGGAAUUUUACACAAUGGGCGAAAGCCUGAUGUAGCAACGCCGCGUGGAGGAUGACGGAUCUAGGUCUGUAAACUCCUUUUAUAAGGGAAGAAAUUUGACGGUACCUUAUGAAUAAGCACCGGCUAACUCCGUGCCAGCAGCCGCGGUAAUACGGGGGGUGCAAGCGUUACUCGGAAUCACUGGGCGUAAAGGGAGCGUAGGCGUUUUAUUAAGUCUUGAGUGAAAGCUCGCAGCUCAACUGCGGAACUGCUCAGGAAACUGAUAGAAUUGAGUAUGGAAGAGGUAGGUGGAAUUUCCGGUGUAGGGGGUAAAAUCCGUAGAUAUCGGAAGGGAUACCAGAAGCGAAGGCGACCUACUGGGACAUUACUGACGCUGAGGCUCGAAAGCGUGGGGAGCAAACAGGAUUAGAUACCCUGGUAGUCCACGCCCUAAACGAUGAACACUAGUCGUUACGGAGCUAGUCUCUGUAGUGACGCAGCUAACGCAUUAAGUGUUCCGCCUGGGGGAGUACGGUCGCAAGAUUAAAAACUCAAAUGAAUUGAC